This 19014-nucleotide long non-coding RNA is filed under the name Erythranthe guttata (spotted monkey flower). Its description in RNAcentral is "long non-coding RNA (EGUT_LNC002429)". The record is from RNAcentral. Lineage: Eukaryota; Viridiplantae; Streptophyta; Magnoliopsida; Lamiales; Phrymaceae.
UUGAAGCAGCAGCUGAGGCAACUCUGCAUGAGGAGAUCUUGACCCCACAAUCGGUCAACAUCGAGCUCCAGCAGAUUUUGCAGAUUAACAACAUCGCCGAUACUGUGAAGAAGAGGAAUCUGCAAGAACUCAAUGAUUUUGGAGGUGUUAGAGGAGUUGCAGAAGCAUUGAACACAGAUCUGGAUAAAGGAAAAAUAAUUUCAAACCCUAACAAAACCUGCACCGAAUGCAACCCUAGCCAACUAUCCCAACUUCUCCUCACUUUCUUCCAUUCUUUUCUAGCAGCUUGGAAUAACUACACCAUCUUUCCCCUCUCCGUCGCUGCGAUUUUGUCGCUAGGGUUCGGAAUCAAGUAGGAGGAAGGCUUGUGCAUCGGCUGGCUCAACGGCACGCUCAUAAUUCUCACAAUCUUCAUUCUUGUCACGUGCACAGCCGUACGCAAGUGCUGGGAAGAGAGGUCACGUAAAAAAUUGGAGAACAUUUUUUUACCUGAGAUUUGUAAUAAGGUGCAAGUACUUAGAGGUGGGGAAGCUGAGUCUAUUAAGGAAAUCGACCUCGAAGUCGGCGACAUAGCAGUUCUCCGAAAGGGAGAUCUUGUUCUCGCCGAUGGCAUUUUCGUAGAUAGCCGAGCAGCGCUCGAGCUAGACGACAACGGCUCGGUAAUCGAUGAGGAUAACCCGUUUUUGUUUUACGGCAGUAGAGUGAUCAACGGAGAUGCUCGGAUGCUGGUCACAUCCACAGGCAUGGACAACUUGUGGGGUGAGACAAUGAAGAACCAGCUGCUAGGGUUGGACGACAAGAGGUGUAAAUUCGAGUCUUAUAUUCAUACAUUGAAUACAUGUAUUCAUUUUGUUGGUCUUGGUAUAACCAUCCUCUUCAUCAUAGUGCUUUUCCUUCGAUACAAAUUCGGAAAGUUGGAUGAAGAAAGGAGAUACAGGCCGGAGUCGAAGGGAGAGCCUGUCUCUGUGAAAACUAUAGUGUGGAAGCUAUGAAAGGAUUCGUUACGGGAUCUAAGUCGACGGCUAGGGUUUUGACAACUUUGUUAAGUGUCUCGUUGUUGGGGGUAAUGGAAGGUAUGCCACUUGUCAUCUCAAUUGCAACAAUUAUAUGGAGCCGCAAAACACUAGCGCGCAAGGCCACUGAGAGAGAUUACCUUGCUUGCAUUAAGAUGGCCAGUGUCACUACCGUAAUUUGCGCCGACAAAUUCGGAGGGCUGACGGAGCACGAUUAUAAAGAGGUCGAAAUCGACAAGUUUUAUGUUGGUGAAGGAUUUGUGUGUGAAAGCUCGGUUGUAGCAUCCAAUGUUCUCGAUGGUUUAUGUGAUGGAAUCGGUACGGUUUUUCUGACGCACGAAGACGAUUAUUGCGGGUCGGAAUUAGGGCAGAUGGUCUCGUGGGCCGAGGCGAAAUUGGGCAUGAAGAGAGAAUCUGUGAUUGAACAAUGCACACUGAUAAGCUAUUGCAGUGUGAACAUUGAUCCCUUGCAACAACUUUGCCAAGUAGUAAUAAUGGAGAAAAGUAGUAAAGGGAGAACCCUGCAUUGUAAAGGACCACCGGGAUAUAUACUGUCGUUGUGUUCACACCAGUACGAUGCUGACGGGAGAAUACAGGAAAUAGACGAACCGAGACGGAGAACCCUCGAACAAGCCAUUCAACAAAUGCAAUCUGAUCAAGAAGCGGAUCAAGCGAUUGCAUUUGCUUAUAAAUAUGUGACGAUGGAUUUCGAUCAUGAGUGCUCAGCACCAGUUGAAUCGAAAGACUUGAUCUUCUUAGGAAUGAUUAGACAGAGAGAAACGAGAACCGACGAUACGAAACGAGCUAUCACACGCUUGAAGGCCGAACGUGGAAUUAGGACAGUUCUUGCCACGAGAGAUGAUGUUGCCGUACUCGAAACCAUUGCCCGAAACUGCGGGCUGCUGUUAACUACUCCCGAAUCGGCCGGCGAAGAUUUAUCGGUUAGUAUUACAGCCGAAGAAUUCCGGAAAUGGAGCGAUGAACAGAAAAUGGAGAAGGUAGACAAGAUUUGUGUUAUGGGAAACUGUCUCCCAUCCGACAAGAUCCUUCUCAUCGAGUUGUUGCAAAAGAAAGGGCAUGCGGUGGCGCUUCUAGCACAGCGAACGACCGACGCGCCUGCACUGAGAAAAGCUGACGUGGGCAUCGCUUUCGGAUCUUGGAGCUCCGAAUUGGCAAGAGAGUGCUCCGACAUCACCAUCUGGGAUAUUGGUAGUAACCCCUUCACCUUUCUGCUAAACGUCGUCGUAGGCGGGAUCCAUUUUCAAGAAAACAUCAGAAAAUCCAUCCAGCUCCAGCUUAUCGUCACAAUCUCAAGCACGCUGAUCAACUUCACUGCAAUCGUGUUCCUCGGAGAUUCCUCCAUAACAGCCGCCCAGCUUCUCUGGCUGAAUCUGGUCGUCGCACUCGCGGGACUGGUGCUAAUGCUGACUGGGCCGUCGCCGGCGGCGGUGACGUCAUCGUCGGGAAAGCUGAUGACGAAGGCAAUGUGGCGGAACAUAGCCAUUCAAGCUUCGUACCAGACGGCCGUGUUCGUGGGGCUUCAGCACAGAGGGAAGGAUAUGCUGGGAACGAGUGGGGGGCGAGUCAAAUCGGUGAUAUACAACGGGUUGUUCCUGUGCCAGAUGUUCAACAAAUUCGUAGCUAGAGAGAUCGAAAGGAAGAAUUUCAUGAGUGGUUUAUUUGAGAAGAAGAAUGUUUGGUUUUGGGUGGGUUUGGUUGGGUUCUUGAUGAGUCAGAUAGUGUUUGCGGCGGCGGAGCAUGUUAUCGGGGGCACUCCGGGGUUGACUUUUCAGCUUUGGGGUUUCUGCUUCCUAAUCGGCGUCGUUUCGUGGGUGCUGGAUUGGAUUGGGAAAACUGUCUCUGAUUUAAUUGGAUUGGUUGGUUUCUGGAAAUAUAAUUUAUAAAUUAAUUUCUAGAAUAAACAAGGCCGGACUGUAUAUCAUCAGAUAGCCAAUCACGAGCCUGUUAUUUAAUUUGAAACUAGAAAUGAUGUAAUUACUUUUAUCCACUUUAGUGUAAAAAUUAUUUUAGUUCCAUUUGGAUGCUGGAAAUUUGACAUAAUCAGACACGUGUGUACCUAUGUGUGUUUAGUUGGUAAUUUUUUUAUUAAAUUUACGAUUCAAAUUCAUCGAAUGCAAAUAAGGGGGUGUAGCAUCUAACCCUCACAUUUGGACUCAUUUCAAAUCCAUUCGUUUCAAAUGUUUCAAUACUAAAAUGCAACUUCAUAUUUUCAGUUCCAAAUAAAGACAUAUAAUUAAGUUGAUCUUUAAUUUGUUUACCAUGAGUAUGUGACAAGUCUUGAAUCUUGAUAUAUAUGAGCGCAAUAUUUCUAUUAUACAGUAGAAAGUAAAUAAAUUAAUAACAUCGCUUAUAUAAUAAUUUCUUCAUGUGAGGACUCGGUAAGCACCUAUCAAAUUAUUAGUUCAACUAUGAAUAACUAGUUAAAUCUCUAACACAAAUUUUUACUAUCUUUAGCAUAAAACACCCAAACUCUCUUACACAUAUGCAGGUAACAACAAUAUAUAUAUAUAUAUAUAUAUAUAUAUAUAUAUAUAUAUGCUGAAUGAAAAUUGAGACAUUUUUUUCAAGCAAUGAAAGCAGAAAGACAGACAAGAAAUGUAUAUAAAUAUAUAGUAUGAUUAUCGCAAAUUAAACCGGAAAUAUAUAUAUGUCAGAUUCAAUAUACUGAUUAUAGUUGUGCCGAGAACUAACCUGCGUGGAUUCAGAAAUGCAAAAUGAAAUGAGGUUUCGAUCAGAUGGGAGUCGCCGCCGGUGAUUUUAUCGAUCUGCAGGUCAACUUUUAACAGUAGUCCUCCUCCUCCUUCUUCUUCUUCUUCUAAGGCUCCCCUCUCUCAUUAUAUUAUAUAUUAAGUCUCAUCUUCAGCUGCGUCCCACCCACUUUAAUUAUACUAAUUAACUGCGUUUUCCCGGUAGCUUCAAUUGUUGUUUCUAGGAUAUAUAUCCUCUUGUUCCAAUUGUAUUAAACUAUUACUCCCUCAGUUCUUAAAUAAUUGUCACUUUUCAUUUUUCAUAAAAAUUAAGAAACUCAAUAAAUAUAUCUUGAUUUUAGAAAAAUCAUAUAAAAAUGACUAAAACAACCUUUAAUAUUUAAUGAUUUAUAAGAGAAAAUUAAUGAAUAUAGUUUCAUUAAUAAGGUUAAAAUAGGAAAAAUGUAUUUAAUGCAGUAUUAGAAAUCUAAAGUGACAGAUGAUAUAGAAUAAAAAAGACCGUUAUUGUGGGAGUAAUAUAAAAACCACAUCACAUGUGCCAAAUUGAAAUUAAUCAAUUAAAUAAUGGUUUUUGUCAUUGAUGUAUUGGAAUAUGCCUUAUAGGCAUUGGGAUGAAAUAGUAUUAAAUUCUGCAGGUCAUUUGUAUUUGAUCACAUGCGCCAAAUUGAAAUUAAUCAAUUAAAUAAUGGUUUUUGUCAUCGGUGUAUUGGAAUAUGCCUUGUAGAUAUUGGGAUGAAAUAAUAUUAAAUUCUGCAGGUAAUUUGUAUUUGGUGUCUAGUGGAAUUAAUUAUUCUGUAGCAACUAGCAUUUUUAUCAGUCACAAAUAAUCUUAAUUAAAUGCCAGAUUAAAUUUGUAAUUAAAAUGUUGAAUUCAUAGAUGAAAUUGAAUUGAAAACUACAAAGUACGAAGCACAUGUCUAUAUUAAUUUUUUUUUUUGAAUUUUUAUUUAAUUUAUUCAUGUAAGAAUUAAUCAAAGAAAAUUACACGUGACUCGAUUCGGCCAAGGCUUGAUUUUGGACAUGUUUUGUUAAUGGGCCAAAUUAAAUGUGGGUAUUGUUCGGGCCACAUUGUAGCAGAGCUAUUCUAUUUUGUUAAUGGGCCAAAUGUAAAUGCUGACGUAUAUUUUUUCUAGAAGAAUGGUGACAUAUACAAUAUUAAGUAAAGUUACUGUCUAAGACAGUAAUAAUGUUGCAGUAAGAUAAUAAUAUUACUGUUUUAUAUAGUAAAAUUAUUGUCUGAGACAAUAAUAUUUCACUCAGACAACAACUUUGCAGGUUGUGACAUAAUAUUGCAGGCUGAUACAAUAAUAUUAAUAUUAGAACAAUAAUAUUAUUAUCUGAGACAUUAUUAUUAAUUUUAACACAGUAAUAUUACUAAAAAAGAGUAAAAAAAAGAAUAAUUGCUCCUAUUUAACCAGAGUAGCCAUAUAUAAACAUUUAUGCUGCUCACUUUCUAAGCCGUAACCGCUCUCUCAAUCAGGUGUGCGAUUCAAUUUCUUCGUUUUAGGAAGAGCAUGGUUCCAGAUUUAUGAAAAAUAUGCUAGUGUGUAUGAUUUUUGUUAAUCUUGUUGGGGUUCUGCAAAAAAAUUGGCAAUUUAUCGAAUGAUUGUACGUAAAAGAUGCGAUUACAUGAAUUCGAAUUAGAGCAAGCUAUUUUAAAUUAGGUAAAAAAUAAAAUCUGAAUAUAUCUAUUUGAACAUAUCUAUUUAACCCAUAAAAAAAAAGGGUGGACAUAUCAAUUUAAAAAAUGGUGUAAUUUGACGAGUCCAUCACACCAAAAGUCAAACUAAAGACAUACUCCACUCCCCAUUUUGCCAACGAGGUAGUUUAGUCAAACUUUUCUACGCGUAAUAAAAUGUGAUUACUGUGGAACCAUAACGGAAUAAAUGUUUAUGGUGUUAUAGAAUAAACCAUCUAUUAUAUCAUAUAACUCAGUGUAUAUAAUUGUAACAGAAAAGAUUUUUGAAUACAGAAGCUUUUCAAUCUAUUCAAUCAAGUAUCUCUUUUGUAUUACAACUAUGUGCUAUAUAUAGAAUUCUCAUGUACAUGCAUGGUGCCAUCUGUAAACAUUGGCUAACCAUUACUUACAAAAUUACACGUAGGUUGACUUGGUCCACAUAGUGAAGAUAUCUUAAUGCUUAAGUCUAUAAAGGAUAUUAUUGUAAUAUAUGGGAAUUUUUUUUGCGUAUACCUAUCACUACUAGAAAUCCGCUGUUUAGCAACGGAAAUUAACGACGUAUACCCGAUGCGUUGCUAUAAUAAGCAUUUAGCGAUGACAUUAGCGACAUAUAUUAAAUUUGUCUCCUCGGCUUUUAGAUUUCAAUUAUAGUGACGUCAAUUAGUAACGAAUAAGAAAUCCAUUUCUAUAAUAAGAAGUUAGAAACAACCUUAGCGACGCUCAUAAUAGUCGUUGCAAACAUAAAUUGUUAGCGAUGGAAUGUUACAACGGAUAAUAAUUUUAUUUCUAAAAUAAAUAUUUAUCAACAUAUAUAGCGAUGGACAAUAUACUCGUUGCCAUAAUAAAUAUUUAGCGACUGACCUUUGCGACGACCAAUAAAUCUAUUUCUAAUAUUAAAAGUUAGCGACAAGUAUAGUCACGGAAAAUAGAGCUGUGACUGAAAUAUAUACUUAGGGAAAAUAUUUAAGUACGAGUGGUAACUCCCGAUUCUAAAAUAAACAGAUGACAGAAUACGAAAAAAUGAACCCAUUAUUGGUGAAAAAAAAAACGAAAUUUGCAAUCACUUUGUUUCCCACUUCAAUUGAAUUAUGGAUACUACUUUUUAAUUUAAGUUUUCAUAAUCAUCAUUAAAUUUUGAGAUAUAUAUAUAUAUAUAUAUAUAUAUAUAUUGGUAAUUAUUUUAGAUUAUUUUUUGUUAAAAGUAAUAGAGAUUUAAAUUAUAAAUUGAGUUUAAAUUAUGUUACAAAAUAAUAUUUUGGUUAUUGAAUCCUUAUUAAUGGAUUAAUACGUUUCUAUUAUUCUUUUUUUAUUCUUAAAGCAUAAUUAAGUAAUUAGUUGAAUAAGUUAAAAAAAUUGUGAAGAUUUCAUUGGCCGUAAGAAAGGCAAUUUGGAGUUUUAAUGCCAACUAAAGAAAAAGACCUACCCUAAUACAAUUGUAUCAGUUCAGAGAAUUCAGAGAGACGCAUAAAGAAAAGAGACGAGGAGUUCAUCACCAGUUCGGGUACAAGUCCGCGUUAUCUAGGUUUGAUACCUCUCUUCGUCAUCUCACCAGUUCGGCCACCAGGUAAUUGCAAAAUUUCGUUUUCUCUCUUCCUCCAUGGAACACAAUAUUAUGCUAUUGAUUUUUGGGAGUUUGUUCAGUAAAAAACCCGUGAUUGAAUAUUUUAUCGCCUUCUCUAUUUUUUUUGGUCAAUUAUUUCCAAUUUAUAUUUGAUUUGAUAAUCAUCAUAGACUCUGUGCUUGGAAGUCGGAACUAGUAAACUUUUCAUGUUUUGAGUAAUCCAUAAUCUGUAAGUGAUUUAGUAUAGUUAUUCCCCUUCGAUUAUUUUUUUGAAGAAUCUCAGUUAAUUUUAUGAAGAAUCUCAGUCAAUUUUAUUAACAUAAUUGUAUGUAGUGUAGGAUUUCAUAAUUCUUGUAUUGCUAUUGCUUACCUAUAUUGGUGCUCUGUUUUAUUAACAAACUAAAUUUUGUUACUACUAUGCAAUUAAAUUAACAAAUGAUCAUUAUUUGUUUAUGUGUUAUACUAAUAAUACGUUCAAUAUAUAUGGAUAACUAUAUAUGUCCUAUUUUUUUAAAAUUAAUUUACUUCAGAUUUUUGAUCUAGCUAGCAUGAGUUCAUUAAGAGCUGAUCGUAUUUGGAUGUACAAUAGACUUGUACAAAGUCGAAAAGGAUUGAUGGAAGAGUUUAUUAGAGGCGUUGAAGAGUUUAUAACUUUUGCACUAUUGCAAGACAAUUUUGUAUCUAACGGCAAUAUACGGUGCCCGUGUUCAAGGUGUGGUAAUCUGAAAUUUCUAGAAAUUGAGGAUGUAAAGACUCACCUAUAUAAAUAUGGUUUUGUUCCUGACUAUUAUCAAUGGGUAUCACAUGGGGAGCCGUACGUAGAAGUCGUUAGUCCACAGUCUUCCGUGGGCAUAGAAAAUGAAACUAUUGUCCAAAGUACAUCACCAAAUCCAUAUCGCACAAUGGUUUUAGAAGCAGCAGGGAUCGAUUAUAAUUUUGAAUUUGAAAGAAAUGAUUCGGUUCGAGAUGAGGAAGAGCUUCCUAAUAGUACUGCCGAUAAAUUUUAUAAAUUGCUUAAGGCUACAGAGGAGCCACUAUAUGAGGGUUGUAAGUCUCAUACUCCACUGUCAGUAAUAUCGAUGUUAUUGAACAUUAAAUCCGAGUUCACAAGCAAAUGCAUCAGAAAUAUCUUCGUCGGAGCAAGGAGAAAUAGGUGAUUCUCAACAGAAUCUUGGAUCGCAACAAAGACUUGCUACGAGACGAAUCUUGUUGAAAGUUGAUGGAGAUAGGUAAAAUAUUUUUUGUGUAUUUUAAUAAAAAAUAUAUAAUAGUGUGUAAGAAAAUAAUUUUCCUUUGUUAACAGUUUUGAUCCUUUCGAUGCAUCAAGACGAUUGGUUGAGAUAUACAAAAAAUCAUUUAGUGGUGCAUGGGCUACAUGGAGAAAUGUCCUUAUUUAUGUUAGGGAUCGUUGGUUUGAUGAUUUUCAGGUAUCGGUUCAGUGUGUUAUUCUUGUGUUAUGUAGCAUGAAAUUUAGAUCAAAUAUCAUCACUUAAUUUAUGCAUUUUAUUAUUUAUAAAUACAUAUAUGUUUGUUGUUGAUGUGUUACAUUUAUUUAAUGUGUGCAUAAGUUUUAUUAUUGGGAUAAUGAGGAUCACUUGGCUAUUAGAAAACUUUUUGACCACAAAGGAAGUACAAGUUUGAGCAAUACCAUGAAUAAGGCGAAAAAAAUAUUUGACGAGAAAAAAGUGAUACCUAGGUGGAUCAAUCAAAAUCAUUGGAAUGAAUUGAUGGCUUAUUGGAAUACUGAUAAGUUUAAGAACAAGUCAGAUACUAAUUCCAGUAACAGAAAAUCGAGUAUUGAUGGUGCAGGUCCAUCCUUGCAUACGGGAGGAUCAAUUCCUGUAUCAGAAUAUAAAAGAAGAUAUGUAUGUAUAGUUUUGUUAAUCUAUACUUGUUAUAACUCAAUUAAUUGAAAGUUAAUCAAUUUUUCUUUCUUUUAGGUGAAAGAGAAAGGGGUCGAGCCUAGUGCCUCAAAAUUAUUCUUGAUGAUUCACAAGACGAAAGAAAAUAAGAACUAGGUUGACACUAAAUCUAAAUCUACAUGGGUAAGCAUUUCUAUCAUUUUGAUAUUAAUUGUUUCUUUAAGAUUUAUAUAUAUAUAUAUAUAUAUAUAUAUAUAUAUAUAUAUAUAUAUAUAUAUAUAUGUAUAUAUAUAUAUAUAUAUAUAUAUAGAUNNNNNNNNNNNNNNNNNNNNNNNNNNNNNNNNNNNNNNNNNNNNNNNNNNNNNNNNNNNNNNNNNNNNNNNNNNNNNNNNNNNNNNNNNNNNNNNNNNNNAUAUAUAUAUAUAUAUAUAUAUAUAUAGAUGUGUGUAUGUGUGUCACUGUCCUAAUAAUUUGGAUCAGCUUUGAUUAAAAUUAAAUCAUGAUUUAUGCAAAAUAAGUUUGUUUAAUCUAGUUUUGAUGAUAUAAAUAUAGUUUGAGGAAGCUUUUAGCCAAGCCUGUUCAAACGAGAGUAAUGAGUAAUAUAUAUAAAUAUAGUUAGGACAGCAAUAUAUAUAUAUAUAUAUAUAUAUAUAUAUAUAUAUAUAUAUAUAUAUAUAUAUAGAGUACUUUGUCUAUUCCCAGUAGCUGCUUAUGUGUGUAUGCAAUUAUGUUUUAUAAAUUUAUUAUUUAUUUUGUAAUAUUUCAGGAUAAGUUUAAAGUUAUCGUCAAAAGGCGUCGUUUAAAUGAUGUUCCUGAGCCAAACAUUGAUGGAGAAGGACAUGAGGAUGUAGAUGAAGAGGAAGAAGAAAAUAAUGUAGAUGAAGACGAAGCCUUCAUUUCAAUGGCAUCAACUCUUUCUAAAGAAGUUCUUGAUAAUGCUUGGGUUGAAGCAACUGGAGGGCCGAUAAAAGGAAGAGUUUACGGUCUUGGAUCAGAAUCCAUCACUCUUAUGCAAGGAACUGGCCUUACAUCUUGUGCUCCGACAAGUUCUUCUCUAGUUCCACCAGUCCCUUUUGAGAACUUACUUGACACUGCUACCUUUCAAGAAGCUGUUGACCGUGUCGUAGAGCAAAAACUAGCCAAUAUGCAAGCUUCUUUUGAGGAUAAACUUCGAAUCAUUGAGGCUGCCAUGAAAGGGAUGCAGUCAAGUCAACCUGAAGGAUCAUUAUGAGAAAGAGGUUCAACAUCACACUUGUAGGAUAUGUUUUUUAAUUUUAAAUCCGACAAUUUUGCAGGCUACUAGAAUACUUUCGAAAUUCUUUGGGACAAAUUUAUGAAUAUUAUUAUGCUGAUUUAUUUUUAUUGAUCUAUGAAUUUUUAUUGGCAAAUUAUCGUGUAGCAUGUAUUAAAAUAUUGCAUCGAAUAAUUAAAAUAUUGUUUUUUUAAUAAAUAACAUAAUUUUGGCGAUGGAUUUAGUGAUGGAUAUAUGUAUCAGUUACUGAUUUGGCGAUAGUUUCUAGCAACAAAAUUAGUCAUAUUUUUUGCAACAACUUAUUUACAACGGAAUUAGAGAUGUAUUUUGUAAUGAAUCAUUACAACAGAUUUCGUGACGGAUGCGGCGAUGGAUCAUUAGUAACGAACACAGCGACGUAUUUUGAGAUGGUAUAUUAACAACGUUCUUAGCGACGGCGACUGUGACGACAUAUUUGUAACGACCAGAGCAACAAAUUUAGUUAUGUAAAUUAGCAACGUAAAUAUUCAGAUUUAGCAACAUCAUCUCCAUCACAAAUGUAGCGACGAAUCUUUGCAACAGAUAAUAGCCGUCACUACAUGUAGCAACGAAUUUUGGCCAUGUGUUGCUAAAAAUUAGUGACGCGCUGUUUAGCGACGGUCGUGGCAACGAGCGCCAACCGUUGGAAAUUGCCAUUUAGUGACGGAUUUGUCUAAUGUAGCGACGUUUGGGUCCGUAGAUAAACAACGGAUUUCUAGUAGUGUAUUAAUAUUUUAGUAGCUAGUGGGACAAAACAUCCGAUGACCCUCCCGCUCUUCCCUACACCCCAACACCCCUGAUGCCCCACAGGCACACUCCUCCAAUCGACCUGAAUGGCCACCCAAACCCCCACUUAUUUCCGUCGACCAACGUGAACCAAGUUCCCCCCACACCCACUGCUCCUAUCCCCCAAAAUGGACACCUGAGUCCACAGCCUCGCAGCUCUCCUUUUUUCAUACCAGCCCUCCCAAAUGGCCACUUGAAUCCCCGCCUCAUACACCCGACACCUCCGACGACCCCCCCACCCACCAGGGUUUGGCCCGGUUUUUGAAUUCACUUCCACCACCACGGACACCUCGCCGCCCAAAUCCCCUUUCACCAAGGACCAUAGGAAACAUAACGUCACCUUACAUGGACCAUCACAAUCGCCUGAUCAUCCUCAGCCCAACCGAAUACAUGUUUCCGACUUUGCACACUACGCCCCAUUUUUUUACAAGCGCCCCUUUCAACAAUCGGCUUCUCUUAGAGGUUGCUCAAGAGAGAGAAGUCAUGCAUCCGGGGAGAGUAUUCCACUUCAGAAUAACCCUUCGCCCUCUCAACCAAUCAAACGAGCACCCCUCACCCUGGACUACAUCAGUGUACCAAAACGAUGGUGUGAAUCAGCACCUACACACCCAGAAUGGCAUUGGGCCCUCCACCUUCCAACCACAUCAAAAUCAAAUGAAGAUUCUUGCGUGGAACUGUAGGGGGGUUCAUCGCUCUGAUUUUUAUCUAGCUGCCCGAGACUUAAUUGCUCGUCAUAAUCCACACGUGUUCAUUGUGAUGGACACUAGGAUGACCCCCGAACGUUCUGCUACGAUUAUUCAACGUUUUAAUUUCACUGAUAAUACUAUAGUUUCUGUUGUUGGCUAUGCAGGCGGUAUCUAGAUGCUUUGGAAUGCUGCCCAAAUUACCCUUAUACAAACACGAGUAUCGAAUCGUAUGAUACAUGCAGUUGCUACUCUCAACCCGGGAACUCCUCAUUUCCUGCUGACGGCCAUGUAUAAUUACCCGCAGACUCACUUGCAACCUCAGGUUUGGCACGAACUCAUACAGACUGCUAAUUCUAUUAAUCUUAAUUGGGUAGUAAUUGGAGAUUUUAAUAACAUUUUGCAUGCAAACGAAAAAAAAGGGAGGAAAUAAACCGUUAAUUUCAAAAAUAUCCCAGUUUCGCAAUUGCAUGGCACAAUGUGAACUGUUUGAUUUGGGUUUUUCUGGACAUCCAUACACAUGGAAUAACCGAAGAUUUGGAAAAUCUUUCAUUUGCGAAAAGCUAGACCGGGCUUUCGCUAAUCAUUCCUGGCAUAAUCUGUUUCCCUUCACUAAAGUUUAUCAUUUUACAUCUAGUUCAUCUGACCACUCUCCAAUUCUUUUAGAUACGCAUAGCAAUCAUUCGAAAUUCAAAAAACCCUUUAGAUAUGAUAUUGCAUGGUCUACUCAUGAGGCUUUUAAAAACAUUGUUCAAAAUGCUUGGUCUAAUUAUCAACAUGGUGUCUACCCUCAUGAUUUCUUUAAACACUAUCAAUCUUUUAAAUUUAAAGCUCUAUGGUGGAAAAAACAUAUCUAUGGCAACAUAGAUAGGAAAAUAGAUACCACUAAAGAACUUAUAGAACAAGCUACUUCUGAGUUAGACAACUGUUAUUCUGACUCGAUUCACAAUAAACUUAAUCUUCUUAAAACUGAACACAAAAAGCUGCUCGCCCAAAAAGAAUUAUAUUGGCGUCAACGAUCAAGGGUUGCGUGGCUACAUGAUGGUGAUAAUAAUACAAAUUUUUUUCAUGCUUUUGCAUCAGAUAGGAAACGACGCAAUAUGGUCCAAAGUCUAAAAACAGAAUCCGGAAAUUGGAUUUAUGACCUAAAAGAGAUUCAAACCUACUUUGUUACUUUCUUUUCCAAUCUCUACACUUCUAAUAAUCCUCGUACACAUACCUUUUGUGACCUUGACUGUCCAAGAAUUCCCACUACCGCCCACAAUUCUUUGAUAAAUAAUGUGUCCGAUAGUGAAAUUUGGCUCGCCUUAAAUCGAAUUGGAUUGGACAAAGCGCCUGGUCCCGAUGGACUAAAUGGCCAUUUCUUCAAAACAUACUAGGAUAUUCUAAAGGUAUCUGUUACAGAUACUAUCCAGCAUUUCUUUCUAACUAAUAACAUGCCACAUUAUCUUAACAGCACUCGGAUCAUCCUUGUUCCUAAAAAUAACAACCCACAUCUCAUCAACCAUUUCCGGCCUAUAAGCCUCUGUAAUGUAAUGUAUAAGAUUAUUUCUAAUAUUUUGGUUAAUCGCCUCCGCCCGAUUUUGAACACUCUAAUAUCCCCUUUCCAAAAUGCUUUUAUUCCCAAACGGUUUAUUGGUGAUAAUGUUAUUAUGGCGCACGAACUACUCCACAAUAUGAAAUCCAAAAAAUCUAAAACUUCUUACAUGGCCCUAAAAAUUGAUCUUGAAAAGGCAUAUGAUAAACUGGAAUGGAGUUUUAUCAGUACUGUCCUGAACAAAUACAAUUUUCCAUCCCCAAUGAUCGACUGGAUUAUGGGUUGUAUACGAUCUGUAUCUUUCACCCUUUCUACGAAUGGAUUCAUUUCACAACCUUGGAAACCCCAACGUGGGCUGAGGCAAGGUGACCCCUUAUCCCCAUACAUAUUUAUUUUAUGUUUGAAUUUUCUUGUGCAAAAAUUUGUUGAAGGACAGACUAACAAUCAAUUUGAUGCUCUUAAAUCUAGUAAAAAUGGCCCUUUUAUUCCCAUUUUGUGUUUUGCCGAUGACUGUAUUAUAUUUUCUAAAACAAAUCAAAAAUUUGUUGAUUUUAUUCAAAACACUCUUUCUCUUUUCGCAGAAGAAUCUGGUCUCAAUAUUUGUUGGCAUAAGUCCAAAGUUUUUUUCUCCAAAAAUACUAAUAGUACAAUUCGAAGAUCCAUUUGUGAUCAGCUUAAUAUAAAAGCUGGUAAUACGGGUGAAAAAUACCUUGGCCUCCCAUUAAUUAUUAACCGAAUCUCAAAGACAACCUUCUAUGAUAUAAUUCUCAAAACUCAAUCUCGAAUUUCUAAUUGGUACAAUAAAUACUUGUCAUACGCUGGAAGAUGUACGCUUAUUAAGCAUGUGUUAAAUACCCUUCCUAACUAUACCAUGAACACUUUUCAACUUCCAGCAGCUACCAUAAACACACUCUCUUCCCUUAACAAAAAAUUCCUUUGGAACUCUACAUCUCAAUCCCACAGAAAAAGUCUUGUAAACUGGCAUUCUGUUUGCUUGCCCAAAACCAAAGGAGGACUCGGUAUUCGCGACCUACACGUUCUAAACAAUGCUUUUAUCCUCAAGAUAGCUUGGCGACUUCUUACUGAUCCAUCAUCUCUUUUGACCAAACUUAUGAAAUACAAAUACUACCCAACAAAUACCAUUCCCAACGUAACUAAACCAAAACCACACCAUAGCAGUAUUUGGAAAUCAAUAUAUAAAUGUAUUCAUAAACUGAGAGAAUGUCGGUUUUGGCUGGUUGGCAAUGGCGAAAAAAUUAAUUUCUGGACAGAUAAAUGGAUUGAUAAUAUUAUUAUAGCCGAUUAUGUUUCUUGCAUCCCUGAUCAUCUAGUAAAUCUUAGAGUUUCUAAUCUUAUCAACCCGAUUCAUCAAUCAUGGGAUCUUACUUGUGUUUCAAGUUUUAUACCCCAAUAUAUUGUUGACAAGAUUUUGGCUAUUCAUAUACCCGAACAUCGUCGUAAAGAUACGUUUAAAUGGGCAUUUACAAAAGAUGGCAUAUUCACCCUCAAAAGUGCCUACCUUUGGUUAUUUAAUGACCAACAUUCAAGUUUUACUCCUUCUCUCCCAUGGCAAACCAUUUGGAAAUCCACGGUAAGUCCGCGUAUUAAAUUUUUUCUCUAGCAACUCUCUCAUAAUUGUCUGCCUACAUCCGACUUCCUUUAUAGAAGAAAAGUGUUAAGAAUAAAUACAUGCCCGUUGUGUGGAACCUACCCCGAAACCAUAACGCACCUUGUCUUCCAAUGUCAUAAACUCCAACCUCUAAUCCGCAAACUCCCACACGUUCCCUCUGAAACUACAUCUCAUUUUUGUAGUCUCGCAUAUGCCCUUUCGAAAAAAUACAAGACCUAUUCGAACCAACUUUACACCCUCCUUUGGUUUAUCUGGAAAGCUCGUAACAACUUUAUUUUUCAUAAUAUUCCAAUAAAUAUAAACCAAAUCUGGCUUCUUGUGAAAAAUAGUUUCAUCCCUAAUAUACCACCUAAACCUAACAAAAUCACAAUAAGCCUUCGAUGGCAGCCUCCACCGGAUAAUUGGUACAAACUAAACAUCGACGGAUCAGCCCUCAUGAACCCCGGAAAAGCCGGCAUAUGCGGCAUGAUCAGAGAUAACACAUGAACAUUUAUAAUGGCAUUUGCGAAGAAUAUUGGGUAUACUACUAAUAAUGCAGCAGAAAUGUGGGCACUAUACAUUGGUUUAAAAAAGGCAAAGGAACUUGAUAUACAUCGACUUGUUAUUGACACCGACUCAUCUUUUCUUUUCUCUUGCCUUGACAGGAAGGAAGCUCCUCCCAGCUGCAUGCAAACUCUUCUGAAGGACCUUCGCAGAAUACUAUCUAAAUUCUCGAAGGUGAUGGUUAACUUUUGCUAUCGGGAACUAAACUACGUAGCGGAUGUAUUAGCUAAAAUGGGGACAUCCUUAGAUACGGAUGAAAUUUUGUUGUACGAUAAUUGCCCCAGUUUCCUAGAAUAUUAUAUGUAUCAGGACCUUUUCUCGGUGUACUCUCGUAGUACAUCCAAUCCUUGUAAUCGUACUAUGACCUUAAGUUCUUAAUAUAAUAUAUCGUUUGUUCUUGUUCAAAAAAAAAAAAAACAAUUCUUUUAUGGCAAUAUAAAUAGGGUUUAUUUUACAUUACCACAGGCUUCCAAAUAAUUAGAGAAGUCAAAUCAUUCUUUGAUAUAUUCCUAGAGAGGUGAAAGUACUAUACUACCAUUAUAUGCAAUUUUCGGUCAGACUGCAUUCAGUAUUUCUGGUCUUAUUCUUAGCAUUUUCGCUGAUUUAUUUAUUAUUAUUUCUUUCUUUUUUAAUAAAUCUGUUUGUUAAAUCUAUUAAUUUUUUUUAUUUUUUAAUUUUUUUUUCAAAUCAAUAUGUUUACCGUAUUUAAAAUAACUAAAUGUAACUAUGUGUAAAUGUAGUAAAAUUUAGUAAUUCGUAGUUGCGUUCUUUUUUUACCUCAUAAUUUUAGUCGAUCAAUUAUAUACACACACCGAUACUGGCUUAUAAAAAAGAAAUUCAUAAAUUCCAACAAGAAAAAAUUACAAAUUUCAAUAUUUUUAUUAUAAAUCACCUCAGAACCAAUAAAAUACAAAUCGAAAAUACACAAAUAUAUGCAUAUGUAACUAACUACAUGUUACUAUAUGUAACUAGUAAUGUAUAGUAAUAUAUAAUAAUGUACAGUAAUGUAUACAGUCUGUUGAACAUUGUAAUUUGAAGUAGAUGUAACUUCAACCAAAUUUUUGACACCUUCCAGGAGAUGAUCAAUGACUUUCAUUAAACUGCAAUUGAAACAUCAAAAAAAAAAUAUCUUAGUACAAAUCAAUAAAAAUUGAAGAAACAUCAAAACACUUAAAAAUCAACAAACACUGAGAGAUCGAGAGAUAUAGAGAGAGGCUAUAGUUGGGAAAUGCUACGAAUUUUAAACCAAACAGCCAGUGACUCCUCACCCCAAUCGCCUACUACUAAAACCCUAGCCGCCGCUAAUAAGUAAUAACACCCAAGUUUCCGCGCUCACAAAUAAAAAAAAUUAUAAAAAUAAAUCUGACAAUAUAAAAAUGAACGAAAUUACCAUCAAAAUAUAAAUCUCGAUGAGAGAAAUCCCACGGUGGGUAACCCGUCAAAUUCCAACUACCGGAACAUAAAAUACACCUCCGACAAGACCCACCGUCGUCGAAACUAUGCGUCGACUGAAAAAAAAUUGCAGAGACAUAUUGAGUGCUCCAAACUGAAUGAAAUCGACACUAAAAGAAAGAGUUCGACGAGAAGAAUGCAACUGUAGUUAAACAAUCGAAUUCCGACCACCGGAGAGAGAGUUAUGACUUCGGGAAGCAACUGAGAUCUAUGAAGGCUGGAUUUGAUCUGAGAGUUGAGAGGGGAAAAGAGAAAGACGACUGCGAGUGGCUAGAGUUUAAAACUGAUUUUAAAAGGGCAUUAUAGAUAUUUCAGGAUGGCCAAGGGGUAUAUCAAAUUAUUAUCGAAAUGGAAAGGAUUUGCACAAAGAUGUAAUUAGCUUGAUGGCUAGUCCUAUAUAAUUUCGAAAUGGGAAUCUCCAAAAUAAUCUCAUAUAAAUACAACCUUUUAACAUUUGAGUUUAAGCAUAUUUGGUGAAUUAAAAAGUCAUUAAUAACUAUACUUCUAAGUUGAUAAGAUGAUUAGGGUUUUCCAGCUGCCGACUGGAAAAAGAAAAGAAAGAAUUUAUUCACGAAAAACAGGAAGUUUCAAGGCUCUUUCUAAUAAUUGAUAUUAUUUUGCUUAUUAGAAUUAUAAAAAAUAAAAAAAAUAAUAAAAAAAAAAAUAGUGCAGCACUCUUUUAAUUUUCAUCUUGCCACCAAGGAACUGCGCGUUUUUGAAAAACCUCAACUUGAAUUGAGAAGCUUCAAGGCAGUUUCGUUCAAGUUUGUGCAGUUUCAAAAUUUCUAUAAAAAACCUUACCCCUCCCCUCUCUUCAGUUGGACUAUCGAUUAGGUAAAAAUAAACUGAAAGAACCAAAAAAAAAAAAAAAAAAAGAAACGAAAAAUAGUUCAACUCACUGAGUCACUCACACACGCUCAGUGAGUCGUUCAUACUCAUCGAUUCCUUACCAUUUCUGACACACAUGGGCUGCUAACGUGCGCAUGAUGGUGGUGUAAUAGUUUACCGGCUGCCACGGAAGAAACAGGAAAAUCAAGACGAUGUCGGAGUCGGAGUCGGAGUCGGAGGAGAUCUCAGCUGGUUUCGACGUCGAAGCACAGCAAUCACUUCUCGGAACAACGUCCGUACCGCCGCCCGCAGAAACAGCCACCGCCAGUAUCAGGUCAAUUAUUUUGCUCAUUCGUUCCACUCAACUCUUCAAGUUGGGCGGCGCCGGAGCUCACAACUACCACGAUGCCGCCGUGGCCGCCGAUCAUAUAAUCAGCAGCAGCACUACUUCUUCACCGCGGUCAACCUCAGCUGUUAGUUACGCUUCUAUCCCCAUCUCCGCCGAUGAUCAGAUUCUCAUUAACAUUCCGGUAUAUAUAUAUAUAUAUAUAUAUAUAUAUAUAUAUAUAUAUAUAUAUAUAUAUAUAUAUAUAUAUAUAUAUAUAUAUAUAUAUCUUUAAUCAAACAAUUAAUAUCAAUUGAUCUUAAAAAUUACUUGUAUUAAUAAUUAAUUUGCAUACUAGGGUUCAACGACGACGACUCUGCAUGAGGAGACCUUGACCCCACAAUCGGUCGUCAACAUCGAGCUGCAGCGCGUAGUGCAGAUUAACAACAUCGCCGAUAUUGUGAAGAAGAGGAAUCUGCGAGAACUCAAUGAUUUUGGAGGUGUUAGAGGAGUGGCAGAAGCAUUAAGCACAGAUCUGGACAAAGGAAUAAUAAUCUCAAACCCUAAAAAAACCUGCACCCAAUUCAACCCUAAUACCCAACUUCUCCUCACUUUCUUCCAUUCUUUUCUAGAAGCUUGGAACAACUACACCAUCUUUCUUCUCUCCUUCACUGCGAUUUUGUCUCUAGGGUUCGGAAUCAAGGAGGAAGGCUCGUGCAUCGGCUGGCUCAACGGCGCGCUCAUAAUUCUCACAAUCUUAUUUCUUGUCACGUGUACUGCCGUACACAAGUGCUGGGAAGAGAGGUCACGUAAAAAAUUGGAGAACAAUUUUUUACGUGAGAUUUGUAAUAAGGUGCAAGUACUUAGAGGUGGGGAAGUUGAGUCUAUUAAGGAAACCGACCUCGAAGUUGGCGACAUAGCAGUUCUGAGAAAGGGAGAUCGUGUUCUCGCCGAUGGCAUUUUCGUAGAUAGCCGAGUGUCGCUCGAGCUAGACAAAAACGGCUUCAUAAUCGAUGAAGAAAACCCGUUUUUGUUUUACGGCAGUAGAGUGAUCAACGGAGAUGCUCGGAUGCUGGUCACAUCCACAGGCAUGGACACGUUGUGGGGUGAGACAAUG